GUAUAAGUCUCUUGGAACAGAGCGUCAUAGAGGGUGAGAAUCCCGUCUUUGACACGGACUACCAGUGCUUUGUGAUGCGCUCUCAAAGAGUCGAGUUGUUUGGGAAUGCAGCUCAAAAUGGGUGGUGAAUUCCAUCUAAAGCUAAAUAUUGGCGAGAGACCGUAGCGAACAAGUACCGUGAGGGAAAGAUGAAAAGCACUUUGGAAAGAGAGUUAAACAGUACGUGAAAUUGCUGAAAGGGAAACGCUUGAAGUCAGUCGCGUUGUCCGGAACUCAGCCUUGCUUUUGCUUGGUGCACUUUCCGGAUUGACGGGUCAGCAUCGAUUUUGACCGUCGGAAAAGGGCUGGAGUAAUGUGGCACCUCCGGGUGUGUUAUAGACUCUAGUCGCAUACGGCGGUUGGGAUCGAGGAACGCAGCGCGCCGCAAGGCAGGGGUUCGCCCACUUUCGCGCUUAGGAUGCUGGCAUAAUGGCUUUAAACGACCCGUCUUGAAACACGGACCAAGGAGUCUAACAUACCUGCGAGUGUUUGGGUGGAAAACCCGAGCGCGUAAUGAAAGUGAAAGUUGAGACCUCUGUCGUGGAGGGCAUCGACGCCCGGACCUGACGUUUACUGACGGUUCCGCGGUAGAGCAUGUAUGUUGGGACCCGAAAGAUGGUGAACUAUGCCUGAAUAGGGUGAAGCCAGAGGAAACUCUGGUGGAGGCUCGUAGCGAUUCUGACGUGCAAAUCGAUCGUCAAAUUUGGGUAUAGGGGCGAAAG
This 761-nucleotide ribosomal RNA is filed under the name Ganoderma sp. Its description in RNAcentral is "partial large subunit ribosomal RNA". It matches the Rfam family "Eukaryotic large subunit ribosomal RNA", at positions 179 to 929 of the family's 3401-position model. Lineage: Eukaryota; Fungi; Basidiomycota; Agaricomycetes; Polyporales; Polyporaceae. The record is from RNAcentral.